RNAcentral lists this ribosomal RNA (465 nucleotides) under uncultured bacterium. RNAcentral describes it as "partial 16S ribosomal RNA". It matches the Rfam family "Bacterial small subunit ribosomal RNA", at positions 338 to 795 of the family's 1533-position model. The record is from RNAcentral.
CCUACGGGUGGCAGCAGUGGGGAAUAUUGGACAAUGGGCGCAAGCCUGAUCCAGCUAUUCCGCGUGUGGGAAGACGGCCUUCGGGUUGUAAACCACUUUUGUAGAGAACGAAAAGUCGAUUGAUAAUACCGAUACACGAUGACGGUACUCUAAGAAUAAGCACCGGCUAACUACGUGCCAGCAGCCGCGGUAAUACGUAGGUUGCAAGCGUUAAUCGGAAUUAUUGGGCGUAAAGGGUUUGCAGGCAGUUUUGGAAGAUUGAUGUGAAAGCCCCGGGCUUAACCUGGGACAGCCAUAGAUGACUAGAAGACUAGAGUGCGUUAGAGGGGAGUGGAAUUCCAAGUGUAGCAGUGAAAUGCGUAGAUAUUUGGAAGAACACCGAAGGCGAAGGCAGCCCACUGGGUCGAAACUGACGCUCAUACACGAAAGCGUGGGGAGCAAACAGGAUUAGAUACCCCAGUAGUC